RNAcentral lists this long non-coding RNA (329 nucleotides) under Setaria viridis. RNAcentral describes it as "long non-coding RNA (SVIR_LNC007508)". The record is from RNAcentral. Lineage: Eukaryota; Viridiplantae; Streptophyta; Magnoliopsida; Poales; Poaceae.
UGGAGUUUGUCCAUGAUUCUAACCUGAGGGAUCAUUCUGCUGUGGUGUAGUAGUUGGUGUUGAAGAACUCAGCACACCAGCUCUGCUGUCUGUAGUCAGGUGAAAUCCCUGGUCUGCUGCACUUUGUACAGAUGAAGAAACCUGACCAGGUGCAUUGACAGCCAAUGAAACCUGACCAGGUGCAUUGGCAGCCAAUGCAUUGGCUACCAAUGCAUUUAUCUGUGCCACUAAAGGGUGAGCACCAGCAACACCGCCUACAGAAGCUUGUGAAACAGCAGAUGUUGCAUUUGGUUGGGCUCCCACUGCUGUCUGAGAACCUUGAGAGGAGG